UCGAAACCUGCCCAGCAGAGCGACCAGCGAACAUGUUUAACUCUCUCGGGUGCAGGGGGAUGUGGGUAGCUUGCUCCUACUCCUCCGCGCUUGAGCCGGGGUGUAGGCCUCUUGUGGGCUUCCUCCUUGGCAUCUCAACGAACCCCGACGUGAAAAGCGUCAAGGAACAUAAACAACAUAUGAGCUUGCUCUUGCUGCCCGGUUAGCCGGUGCACGUAGGUGUAGGGCCAUGUCAUAACAUUA
This 243-nucleotide ribosomal RNA is filed under the name Stellaria media. Lineage: Eukaryota; Viridiplantae; Streptophyta; Magnoliopsida; Caryophyllales; Caryophyllaceae. The record is from RNAcentral.